This 73-nucleotide transfer RNA is filed under the name Chloroflexota bacterium. Its description in RNAcentral is "Chloroflexi bacterium (marine metagenome) tRNA-Phe". It matches the Rfam family "tRNA". Rfam says of the family: Transfer RNA (tRNA) molecules are approximately 80 nucleotides in length. Their secondary structure includes four short double-helical elements and three loops (D, anti-codon, and T loops). Lineage: Bacteria; Bacillati; Chloroflexota. The record is from RNAcentral.
GCUGAGGUAGCUCAGCCGGUAGAGCGCCGGCCUGAAGCGCCGGGCGUCCCCAGUUCAAGUCUGGGCCUCAGCA